Molecule: long non-coding RNA, 849 nt
Organism: Triticum aestivum (bread wheat)
Lineage: Eukaryota; Viridiplantae; Streptophyta; Magnoliopsida; Poales; Poaceae
Exons: 4
Source: RefSeq, a predicted model, not a curated record
CCAACGGCGAGGCGAUAUUGGAGGAUCUCGGAGCGCCCUACCAGCCGCCGCCGCGCCCUUGAGCACCAGCGCCAUGCGCCUUCUCCCGGACGGCUGCUUGCCCGCUCCCUUCAAGCCCCAGCCGCCGCGCUCCUGUCAAGCCCCGGCCGCCGCGCUCGGUCACCGCAAGGACCGGCCUCCGCGCUUGCUGCUCGCAAGGACCGGCCGCCAUGCCUCGCCGGCCAACAUCGGAGCAGCCAGCCUCGGCAGGUGACAGCAUAUCCUCAUCCAGGCUCGCCCUGGCCGGAGCCUACUGCGUCAACCCAUCACAUCGAUCAUCCCGCCUCAUCCCACCAGCGUACUCGCCGGCGUAGAUUUCCCCACAGUGUAAUAGUAAUUGCAAGGAGAGAGACACUACUGGAUACAGGGACACAAGUGGGAGCACAAGUACAGUGUACAUGCAGCAUUGUCUGAACCAAUGACCAAGCAAAAAAAUAAGAAAAACAGGGUAGAAAGAAAGGAGUCUCGGAACUAAACAGGUUCAGCCAUGCCAAAAACACAAAUCCAAGAGAUCUGCUUCAUCAGCACGGAUCCGAGAUCUAGAAGAAAGAAUUGAACAAAAGGAUAGAGAGGGAUGCAAAUGACAAGUAGCUAUGGCAUCAAGAGGAGUUAGCUGCGAGACUUGUAGCACAAGAGACAACACUUGAAGAGAUGGGGAUGAAGUAGCAAGAAAAGUAGUGUAAUGAGCCAGCAAGAUAAGAAUGAAGCUUGGGAAAAGAAGCAACGUGAUGAAAUGCCAUCCUUUUGUGAUGAAAGAUUGGUGCUGAACAAGCACUGCAAUCAACCAGGACAACACUUUUGUGGUCUUUA